UACGGAGGAUGCGAGCGUUAUCCGGAUUUAUUGGGUUUAAAGGGUGCGUAGGCGGCCUUGUAAGUCAGCGGUGAAAUUUUGCAGCUUAACUGUAAAAGUGCCGUUGAUACUGUGAGGCUAGGAUUUGGUUGCUGUGGGUGGAAUGUGUGGUGUAGCGGUGAAAUGCAUAGAUAUCACGAGGAACUCCGAUUGCGCAGGCAGCUUACUAAACUACUACUGACGCUCAGGCACGAAGGCGUGGGGAUCAAACAGGAUUAGAUA
RNAcentral lists this ribosomal RNA (261 nucleotides) under uncultured prokaryote. Its description in RNAcentral is "partial 16S ribosomal RNA". It matches the Rfam family "Bacterial small subunit ribosomal RNA", at positions 524 to 784 of the family's 1533-position model. The record is from RNAcentral.